RNAcentral lists this ribosomal RNA (110 nucleotides) under Alphaproteobacteria bacterium. The record is from RNAcentral. Lineage: Bacteria; Pseudomonadati; Pseudomonadota; Alphaproteobacteria.
UGGCGAUCAUAGCGAGGAACUUAAACCCGAUCCCAUCCCGAACUCGGCCGUUAAAGCCCUCCGCGCCUAUGGUACUGUGCCUCAAGACACGGAAGAGUCGGUCGUCGCCA